AGGUUAGAUUUGUUGUGAAGUACAGACACUGUGAUGGUAAAGUAUCAGUGAAAGUAACCGAUGACCAAGUGUGCUUACAGUACAGAACUGAACAUGCACAUGAUAUGAAGAAACUAGAACGACUCAGCAACACGCUCAUGAGAUACAUGGUAUCAAAAGAACAUUAACAACACAACAUCCUGUAUCAUGCAAAGACAGAAGAAUUAUACUAUGGAAGGAAUGAAACAACAACAUUCUGUUGUCAAAAUGUUGGACUGUAUGCUACAGACUGUGACAUUUGUAAUUGUACUCGGAUGAAACCAGAACAAUUGUGAAAAGUCGUACCUUCAUUGGUAUUCAAAAAUACCGGUACACUUCAUAGAGCGGGAAAAAUCUGCCACUUUAAGAUCAUGUUUUGAGCUCAAUAAAAUAAGUAAAAAAAGUCAA
Saccoglossus kowalevskii is the source of this 426-nucleotide long non-coding RNA. The record is from RefSeq and is a predicted model, not a curated record. Lineage: Eukaryota; Metazoa; Hemichordata; Enteropneusta; Harrimaniidae.